RNAcentral lists this long non-coding RNA (271 nucleotides) under Brassica napus (rape). RNAcentral describes it as "long non-coding RNA (BNAP_LNC007530)". Lineage: Eukaryota; Viridiplantae; Streptophyta; Magnoliopsida; Brassicales; Brassicaceae. The record is from RNAcentral.
AUACUAUACUAAAAGGGAUAUAUGAGCUCCCCUAAGCUAUGCCACGUCCUUUAAUAAAUUUAACCAAUCAGAGAACAUUGUUUUGCCAUGUCAUACAAACUUUUUACGAUUAGAUUUCAAGCAGGCCAUUUCUAUGGGCUAAUAAAAUUCUUCACUGGCCCAUCUAAAACACACCAUUCCAAAGGUGAAUUUUUUUAUCCCUUUCCAACCGUGCUCUUCCUAGACCUUAAUAAUAGUGAUGGUCGAUCCUAAUUCUGUCGCUUGCGCUCCU